AACUCAGCAGGAUAGGGAAUCUCUGGAGAGAAGGAAUAGGUGACACUUUGGGUUGAGACUUUUCUUUGG
Long non-coding RNA from Amblyraja radiata (thorny skate), 69 nucleotides. RefSeq lists it as uncharacterized. The record is from RefSeq and is a predicted model, not a curated record. Lineage: Eukaryota; Metazoa; Chordata; Chondrichthyes; Rajiformes; Rajidae. The transcript is spliced from 3 exons.